Molecule: ribosomal RNA, 791 nt
Filed under: uncultured bacterium
Lineage: Bacteria
Description: bacterial SSU rRNA
Rfam family: Bacterial small subunit ribosomal RNA
Source: RNAcentral
AGAGUUUGAUCAUGGCUCAGGAUGAACGCUAGCGGCAGGCUUAAUACAUGCAAGUCGUGGGGCAGCAGGUCCCGCAAGGGAUGCUGGCGACCGGCAAACGGGUGCGGAACACGUACGCAACUUUCCUUCAAGCGGGGAAUAGCCCAGGGAAACUUGGAUUAAUACCCCAUAAUUUUAUGAAGUGGCAUCACUUUAUAAGUAAAGCUCCGGCACUUGAAGAUGGGCGUGCGGCUGAUUAGGUAGUUGGCGGGGUAACGGCCCACCAAGCCUGCGAUCAGUAACUGGUGUGAGAGCACGACCAGUCACACGGGCACUGAGACACGGGCCCGACUCCUACGGGAGGCAGCAGUAAGGAAUAUUGGGCAAUGGACGCAAGUCUGACCCAGCCAUGCCGCGUGGAGGAUGAAGGUCCUCUGGAUUGUAAACUUCUUUUAUCUGGGAAGAAAUCCAUAUUUUCUAAUGUGGUUGACGGUACCAGAUGAAUAAGCACCGGCUAACUCCGUGCCAGCAGCCGCGGUAAUACGGAGGGUGCAAGCGUUAUCCGGAUUCACUGGGUUUAAAGGGUGCGUAGGCGGAUUGGUAAGUCCGUGGUGAAAUCCCCGAGCUUAACUUGGGAACUGCCGUGGAUACUAUCAGUCUUGAAUAUCGUGGAGGUAAGCGGAAUAUGUCAUGUAGCGGUGAAAUGCUUAGAUAUGACAUAGAACACCAAUUGCGUAGGCAGCUUACUACUCUCAUUGACGCUGAGGCACGAAAGCGUGGGGAGCAAACAGGAUUAGAUACCCNNGUAGUCC